This 253-nucleotide ribosomal RNA is filed under the name uncultured bacterium. RNAcentral's name for it is "partial 16S ribosomal RNA". It matches the Rfam family "Bacterial small subunit ribosomal RNA", at positions 524 to 776 of the family's 1533-position model. The record is from RNAcentral.
GACGUAGGGCGCGAGCGUUGUCCGGAUUUAUUGGGCGUAAAGAGCUCGUAGGCGGCUUGUCGCGUCGUCCGUGAAAACCUGCAGCUCAACUGCAGGCUUGCGGUCGAUACGGGCAGGCUAGAGUUCGGUAGGGGAGACUGGAAUUCCCGGUGUAGCGGUGAAAUGCGCAGAUAUCGGGAAGAACACCCGUGGCGAAGGCGGUUCUCUGGGACGGUACUGACGCUGAGACGCGAAAGCGUGGGGAGCGAACAGG